GUACGUUUUAUACAUAUUUAACUAUUUUCAAUAUCCAUUUGGAUCAUUCAAUAUGAAAACGAUGUAAUUUUCGAAAUAAACUUUCCCACGACAUAAACGAUUUGUGAAUUCAAAUAGCACAUGAUCGCAAACGAAUAUUAUCGAAAUUCUCAAAAAACUAAUUUCAAAUGCUCUACUUUAACAUGUCAUAACUUUUGCGAUAAUUGACCACUUUGCACACCAUUAAUGAGUGAAAAUCUAAGCCAUGAACACUUCGAAAUGAUAUUAAGAAAACAAUAUUUUGACUUUAUUUGGCAUUCCCACGAGUGCAUCAAAAUAGAUGGUAAAAAUAAUAAUAAUAAUAAAUAACGGAGGAAAAUUUUGUGGGGUCAUUUGACCCACAUGACCCCAUGUGGGUCCGCCCCUGAAUGUUACAAGCUGGAAAAAUAUGGACAGAAAUUCAGCAAAAUUAGUCACCUAUACAUACAAAUACUCAAUUCUGAUGAAGAUCAAUUCACGUGUCCUACAAAACAAGAUGGAUGUUAAAUAAGCAUACUUGAGGAGACUUACUAUCGAAGUAGCAAAUAUACAUUGUAACUAGGAAUGAGCUUUAAUACCACUUUGCACGUUAUAUGUCUACAAAGUGUAGACUUUGUGUCGGCUUGCAUUAUCUAGUGGGUAAAAGACUGACUAAUAAAUGGCAAACAGUGUAUAAAAAAGUGCUUGCUUGGCUAAACUUUUAAGCGCUUAUAAGGUCCCAUGCUAUACCGAUUCGAUUUGAGCUCUUGAAAUUAGAAUAAAUCAGCAAAUCACGAAAUCUUGGUGACACGGAAUGUGUGGUUAAAAGUAGAUAAAACAUGUUAGUCCUAGGAAAUGUGAGGAUUAAAAUAGAGAUAAAACCUACUCAUAAGCAAUUAUAAACUUUGCCAAACAUGCACUAAAUUGAGUAUGAGGGCGUUUCCUUGCAUAAGGAAAUGCAAGGCAUAGGCCUCACUAUGAAUCACCAAAAUAAUCUAACAAACUAUCAAAAUACAAAAUUUUACAUAGUAAACAAUAAAUCAUCUAAAAAAUCUAUAGCAAAAACAUUUCUACAAUGUUAAAAGUCUUAUAUACAACUAGAAGCAUAAAAUGGAUCCACCAAUUAGCAACCACACGAACAGGCCAUUAAUCCACAACUAUAACUGAAAAUGCUAAACUAAAUCAAACAACUAAAUAACUACUUGCCAGAUUUUUCAUUGCUCCGACUCCAAAAGGAAAUAAAAACCCACAGACAGCAAGAGGAAAAAUAAGAAGGAUGUGUGAAGUUGAAUGUCGUAGGUCACCUAUCACCCGUCAUCAGCCUCCUGAAAAUUGUAACAUCACUUUGAAGGGAUCAAACUUUAGAUGGACUAAAGGGCUAG
This 1379-nucleotide long non-coding RNA is filed under the name Olea europaea subsp. europaea. Lineage: Eukaryota; Viridiplantae; Streptophyta; Magnoliopsida; Lamiales; Oleaceae. The record is from RNAcentral.